Molecule: unclassified non-coding RNA, 329 nt
Filed under: soil metagenome
Description: partial contains 5.8S ribosomal RNA, internal transcribed spacer 2, and large subunit ribosomal RNA
Rfam family: 5.8S ribosomal RNA (bases 1-120)
Source: RNAcentral
GAUGAAGAACGUAGCGAAAUGCGCUAAGUAAUGUGAAUUGCAGAAUUCAGUGAAUCAUCGAAUCUUUGAACGCACAUUGCGCCCUCUGGUAUUCCGGGGGGCAUGCCUGUUCGAGCGUCAUUAUAACCACUCAAGCUCUCGCUUGGUAUUGGGGUUCGCGGUUUCGCGGCCCCUAAAAUCAGUGGCGGUGCCUGUCGGCUCUACGCGUAGUAAUACUUCUCGCGAUUGAGUUCGAUAGGUCUACUUGCCAGUAACCCCCAAUUUUUACAGGUUGACCUCGGAUCAGGUAGGGAUACCCGCUGAACUUAAGCAUAUCAAUAAGCGGAGGA